RNAcentral lists this ribosomal RNA (450 nucleotides) under uncultured bacterium. Its description in RNAcentral is "partial 16S ribosomal RNA". It matches the Rfam family "Bacterial small subunit ribosomal RNA", at positions 354 to 796 of the family's 1533-position model. The record is from RNAcentral.
GUGGGGAAUAUUGGACAAUGGGCGAAAGCCUGAUCCAGCCAUGCCGCGUGUGUGAAGAAGGUCUUCGGAUUGUAAAGCACUUUAAGUUGGGAGGAAGGGCAGUAAGUUAAUACCUUGCUGUUUUGACGUUACCGACAGAAUAAGCACCGGCUAACUUCGUGCCACCAGCCGCGGUAAUACGAAGGGUGCAAGCGUUAAUCGGAAUUACUGGGCGUAAAGCGCGCGUAGGUGGUUUUGUAAGUUGGAGGUGAAAUCCCCGGGCUCAACCUGGGAACUGCCUCCAAAACUGCAUGACUAGAGUACGGUAGAGGGUAGUGGAAUUUCCUGUGUAGCGGUGAAAUGCGUAGAUAUAGGAAGGAACACCAGUGGCGAAGGCGACUACCUGGACUGAUACUGACACUGAGGUGCGAAAGCGUGGGGAGCAAACAGGAUUAGAAACCCCGGUAGUCC